CGUGUAGGCGGCCUAAUAAGUUAGAAGUGAAACCUAUCGGUUUAACUGAUAGCCUGCUUCUAAAACUGCUAAGCUUGAGUGCAGAAGAGGGGAGUGGAAUUCCCAGUGUAGCGGUGAAAUGCGUAGAUAUUGGGAGGAACACCAGUGGCGAAAGCGGCUCCUUGGUCUGUAACUGACGCUGAGGCGCGAAAGCGUGGGUAGCAAAUA
RNAcentral lists this ribosomal RNA (207 nucleotides) under uncultured Peptococcaceae bacterium. RNAcentral's name for it is "partial 16S ribosomal RNA". It matches the Rfam family "Bacterial small subunit ribosomal RNA", at positions 568 to 774 of the family's 1533-position model. The record is from RNAcentral. Lineage: Bacteria; Bacillati; Bacillota; Clostridia; Eubacteriales; Peptococcaceae.